GGAGAGAUGGCUCAGUGGUUAAGAGCACUUGCUGUUCCCGCAGAGGACCUAGGUUCAAGUCCCAGUCUCUACA
Molecule: transfer RNA, 73 nt
Filed under: Rattus norvegicus (Norway rat)
Lineage: Eukaryota; Metazoa; Chordata; Mammalia; Rodentia; Muridae
Rfam family: tRNA
About the family: Transfer RNA (tRNA) molecules are approximately 80 nucleotides in length. Their secondary structure includes four short double-helical elements and three loops (D, anti-codon, and T loops).
Source: Rfam by way of RNAcentral